CCUCCCCUUUUUGUGUUGACUGUGGCUUCAGGUAUGCACUGCUAACAGGUAGCAUUCGCUUAACCUUUAAUGGCAAACACUUAUACUUAUGAUUUUGGUUGUUGCAUCCCAGCCUGUCUGUUUUAUCAGUGUUUUCAUCGGUUCCUGUGGACUGUAUGAUUGCUCUUCCUUUUGCUUUGCAGCGGGGUAUUUGAACGCUGCGUGUCCAGCCUGCGAACUGAUAGUAAGCUCAUCUACUCUCGUUGUGCUCCGUUGGAUUCUCCCUUUUUGUCCUGGCGAUUAUCGUCGUGACUCGCUUGCUCUUUGCUACUGUCGUACAGUUCACCAACACUUCCACUAUCGCUACCCAGGAAGACUGCUGCUGCCGUUAUGGUUGUUCAUGUGGAUUGAUAAUUUUCUUCCGAUAACUCGGGGUGGAUGAAUCUUCAGCUCAUGUGACCAUACUUGGUUAUAGACUGCGGCCUCGUCCGAGCUCCCCCCUCUCCACUUUUUCUCUUUUCGUGAACUGUGUGGGCUUAUGCUUGAAUACUUUUGUAUUGCUGAGCCCUUAUUGUUGUAGCUUUUACCCACACAGAUAUGAUUGAGUUGUAAUUCCAUACGACUGAUUUUUGUAUGCAUUUUCGUUUAAGGUUUGUUUAUUUUGUUUUUGAUUUCCUUUCAGGAGCUGGGGUCCCACGGGUGGUAGAUCCUUAGUGGUGGUGGUGGUGGUGCUGCUUCAACGUUUGCCGUGUGACACUUUUGAAGUGUGUGCGUGUGUGAUCUGAGUUCACGGUGUGGUGUGUAGAAGUGUGCUUUUGGAUAACUAGUGCUGGUGAUCACUCCGGUGGGUAACCUCAGCCUUGUAAGUAAGUGUUUUGUGUAUUUGUUUUUCGUGGUCAUUGGAGAGAGUGUGGCCAGAGAAUGAACCCCAUGACCAGACCAUUUCAAAUGCCUAUUCUAUUUUAAAAUUCAGUGUUUCAAUAAACUUUUG
Molecule: long non-coding RNA, 970 nt
Organism: Triplophysa dalaica
Lineage: Eukaryota; Metazoa; Chordata; Actinopteri; Cypriniformes; Nemacheilidae
Exons: 3
Source: RefSeq, a predicted model, not a curated record